CUUCACCGACCCGAGCCACAACGGCUCCGCCCGAUCCUGCCCGUACGUCGCCUGCAACGCCCGCGCCUC
RNAcentral lists this antisense RNA (69 nucleotides) under Actinophytocola oryzae. RNAcentral's name for it is "ASpks TB sRNA". It matches the Rfam family "ASpks TB sRNA". The record is from Rfam by way of RNAcentral. Lineage: Bacteria; Bacillati; Actinomycetota; Actinomycetes; Pseudonocardiales; Pseudonocardiaceae.